This 247-nucleotide ribosomal RNA is filed under the name uncultured bacterium. Its description in RNAcentral is "partial 16S ribosomal RNA". It matches the Rfam family "Bacterial small subunit ribosomal RNA", at positions 60 to 334 of the family's 1533-position model. The record is from RNAcentral.
AGUCGAACGGACCUUUCGGGGUUAGUGGCGGACGGGUGAGUAACACGUGGGAACGUGCCUUUAGGUUCGGAAUAGCUCCUGGAAACGGGUGGUAAUGCCGAAUGUGCCCUUCGGGGGAAAGAUUUAUCGCCUUUAGAGCGGCCCGCGUCUGAUUAGCUAGUUGGUUGAGGUAACGGCUCACCAAGGCGACGAUCAGUAGCUGGUCUGAGAGGAUGGCCAGCCACAUUGGGACUGAGACACGGCCCAA